GGCGCGUUGGCGGAGAAGUUACGCAGAGGUCUGCAAAACCUCGUAGACGGGUGCGAUUCCCGUACGCGCCUCCA
RNAcentral lists this transfer RNA (74 nucleotides) under Candidatus Chaera renei. RNAcentral's name for it is "bacterium AMD01 tRNA-Cys". It matches the Rfam family "tRNA". Rfam says of the family: Transfer RNA (tRNA) molecules are approximately 80 nucleotides in length. Their secondary structure includes four short double-helical elements and three loops (D, anti-codon, and T loops). The record is from RNAcentral. Lineage: Bacteria; Candidatus Saccharimonadota; Candidatus Saccharimonadia; Saccharimonadales (SeqCode); Saccharimonadaceae (SeqCode).